This is a long non-coding RNA of Equus caballus (horse), 3110 nucleotides long. The record is from Ensembl. Lineage: Eukaryota; Metazoa; Chordata; Mammalia; Perissodactyla; Equidae.
GUUAAGAAGAGCUGAGUACUCUGGGAUAUUUCAAACUGGUUCCUUUUUCCCCUCACUCUGCUGGAAGCUGGAGAAGAUUUUUCUCCAAUAUUUUCUUAGGGAACCUGGUCAAGGUCUAGAAGGUAAAUCUCACCCUAUUGUGGGGUCCCCCUAUGAAUCAGUCUCUGUGGAGUUUUUGACUCUCAGACUUGUCUGGGCUGAGCCUCCAGUAAUUUGUCAGUUGGAGUUCCCGGUUUCCUGCCCGGCUUUUGGUCCCCAAGUUCUUUGAAAACAACUCUGGAAUGCUAAUUGCCGGAGAUCUGUCAGGAGCAAGGAGAACACAGAUUUGAUUUGGUUUCAGUUCAUUCGUGCUCCACCCAAUGCUGGAUUCAGGCAAUGGAAGGGUGCUGCGCACUGUGCCUGGUACAUAAAUAAGAAGAAUACUUUCAAUCAAUGACUUUGUUGCCACCUUCACCUGCCCAGAGGAGAGGAGGACUUCCUGAGUGCAAACAUAUUUUGUGGGGCCUUUGUUGAAAAAAAAAAAAAAACAAUGGAAAGAAUGGAAUACUUGGAAAACACAUAUUUUAAACGGUUGGACAAAGAUAGCUGGUGCAUUUUUUUCUUCCUGCCAAGCCGUUUCCAUUUAGGAUUCAACAAAACCACAGUUCGACAUUGGAUUUAGAACCAAAUUUUCAAAGAAACACAUUGCCGGGGAACAUGCGCGGGAUUCCCACUGAUAAUCGCAUAAAACACGAAAGGAUGGAAUCUGACUGCCCAGUAUGGUUUCUCCUUCUGGCAUAUCAGCACUAUUCAUAAUAGCCAAGACAUGGAAGCAACCCAAGUGCCCAUCAACCGAUGAUUGGAUAAAGAUGUGGUAUACAUAUACAAUGGAAUACUACUCAGCCAGAAAAAAAAUACAAAUUCAUCCCAUUUGCAAAAACAUGGAGGGACCUAGAGGGAAUUAUGCUAAGCAAAAUAAGCCAGUCUGAGAAAGACAAACACCAGACGAUUUCACUCAUGUGGAGUAUAAACAAGUAUUUGGACAAAGAAAACAGUUCAGUGGUUACCAGGGGAAGGGGGGUUGGGGUGGCACAGGGGGUGAAGGGGAGCACUUACGUGGUGACAGACAAGAAAUCAUGUAGAACUGAAAUCUCACGUUGAUGUAAACUAUUAUGAACUCAAUAAAGAAAAACCAACUUACCUUGCAUGAUCACCGUAAUGAGUAAAGGAAUUGAGGUACAUAGACAUACGUUGUAAACUAUAGUAUACUAUGUAAACCUUGGUUGUAAUUAAUGUGAUCUAUGUAAGAAAAAGUCUUUCAUUCUGUUUAAAUUUGUCUGUUUCCACACCGUCUUUGGGCAAUUUGGGUAAUCACUUUGGGCAAUUUACCUUUGUGAAAUUGAUCAGUUCACAUUUAUUAAGCAUAUGCUUUGUGCAAGGCCUUGUGCUACAUGCUAUGGAAGAUAUAAGGUGACUGGCACAUGAUUCUCAUUCUCUUGGAUCAUACAAACUAGUGAGCGGUUUAAGACCCUCAAAAAUACUUAUCACAACCUUUUUCUCCACUCCUUGUAGCUCUAGUGGGGUUGUUGGCGUGGAGCACUCUCCCCUUUUGUCACUUUCUGUGUUCUCAGAGUAUUAGUUGGAGUUCCUUGAUUUUAAGAAGCAGAAAUGAACUCUGGCUGAGUUGAGCAAAAAUGGGACUUUGGGUGUGUCAUGAAGCUAUUAGCAGAAUUUACAAGAAGUGUCUUAGGUAACUUCCCUAAAAGCAGAGCAUAGGGAUUCUGGUGCCCAUGGUUUAUGAGGGUUUGUUCUUCAGGGAAACUCAUGAGGAAAUGAGGGAAACAGUAUAGGUGAGGGCAGGGAGCUAAGAAAGGAUGUGAUCUUAGGUAAAAUCUACUCUUAGCUUGUCCUAGUCAAGGAGCCUGGAGUUUUGUACCUCCCUAUCCGUGCAUCAUUGGCUGCAUUGCGUCAUUGGCUUGGGGUGAGGGAUACUGAAACCUCUCAGACAUCUCUGAGUGAGGUGUCCCAGUCAGCCUAGGGUGAUGCUCUGGAGAAAGCUGCAGGUAUAGGCUGCGUCUAGUUUAUACGUUAUAAGCUAGACAUAACUUGUACAUGAGUAAUAGAUACACUGGCUGGUAAAGAACAUAUGGGUAGGGCACCACAGCAUCUACUAAAGGAGGUCAAGAAGGUAAGACUCAGAAAAGGUUAAGACCCAGAGUGUUCUUAGGGAUAUAGUGGGUCUCAGUGUCAAGAAUGAAUUAUUAUGGUACGGGAAUGAAUGAACACCAACCACUUCCCCGUUACUAGAACACUCUACUUAAAUUCAAAGUCCAGGGGGAAGGGCUUUGAUUGAACAUUAGAAUAGAGAAGCUCCCUUUUUCUGUGGGUCAGUAAUCUGGGAACACACAAAAUUGGAACUGAAGGAAAUCAGUCUGCAGUAGGAGAGAAUGAGGGCACGCGCAGCAGGACAGAGAGCUGAGAGGUGGAGUCUGAGAUCUGAUACCGUCAGGCGUGGCUCCAUCCAUAAUGAAGGCAGUGUCACCCCUGAACUUCUCAGCCAGUAAAUUCCCUUUAGUUUAAACUAAUUGGGGGAGAUUUAUAGCACUUGCAAUCAAAUGAGCUGUAGUCUGCAAGAUUUGACCCCCGAUGUUGCUCCUGUGAAUAUGUUAUGUCACGUAGCACAAGGGGCUUUGCAGAUGUAAUGAAGGUUACUGAUCAGCUGACCUUAAAAUAGGGAGAUUGCCCUGCAUUGUUGGAGAGGCCUAAUGUAAUCACAUAAACCCUGAAAAGCAGAGAUGUUUCUCUGGCUGGCAGCAGGAGGGCACGUCAGAGAUGUGAGAUGCUGCUGUUGGCUUGAAGACGAAGGGCCCCUGUGUCAAGGAAAUGGGGAUCUCAGUCCUCAACAGCAGGGAACUGAAUUCUACUUCAAAGUGGGGUCUCCCCCAGAGCUUCCAGGUGAGAUCCCAGCCCAGCUAACACCUCGAUUUCUGCCUGUGCUCCCUGGCUGGAGAUCUCUUGUGCCCGAACUUCUGGCCCACAGAACUGUGGAUAGUAACCGGGUAUUGUUUUAAGCCACUACAUUUAUGAUUAGUUGUUAUGGCAGCAAUUGAAAACUCAUAGAUGAGCCAAGU